RNAcentral lists this ribosomal RNA (449 nucleotides) under uncultured bacterium. RNAcentral describes it as "partial 16S ribosomal RNA". It matches the Rfam family "Bacterial small subunit ribosomal RNA", at positions 29 to 523 of the family's 1533-position model. The record is from RNAcentral.
AACGAACGCUGGCGGCAUGCCUAACACAUGCAAGUCGAACGAAGCCUUCGGGCUUAGUGGCGCACGGGUGCGUAACGCGUGGGAAUCUGCCCUUUGGUUCGGAAUAACAGUUGGAAACGACUGCUAAUACCGGAUGAUGACGAAAGUCCAAAGAUUUAUCGCCAGAGGAUGAGCCCGCGUAGGAUUAGCUAGUUGGUGUGGUAAAGGCGCACCAAGGCGACGAUCCUUAGCUGGUCUGAGAGGAUGAUCAGCCACACUGGGACUGAGACACGGCCCAGACUCCUACGGGAGGCAGCAGUGGGGAAUAUUGGACAAUGGGCGAAAGCCUGAUCCAGCAAUGCCGCGUGAGUGAUGAAGGCCCUAGGGUUGUAAAGCUCUUUUACCCGGGAUGAUAAUGACAGUACCGGGAGAAUAAGCCCCGGCUAACUCCGUGCCAGCAGCCGCCGCCG